This 495-nucleotide ribosomal RNA is filed under the name uncultured bacterium. RNAcentral's name for it is "bacterial SSU rRNA". It matches the Rfam family "Bacterial small subunit ribosomal RNA", at positions 358 to 856 of the family's 1533-position model. The record is from RNAcentral.
GGAAUAUUGGACAAUGGGGGCAAGCCUGAUCCAGCCAUGCCGCGUGCAGGAUGACGGUCCUAUGGAUUGUAAAUUGCUUUUAUACGGGAAGAACACUCCUUCGUGUAGGAUCUUGACGGUAUUGUAAGAAUAAGGAUCGGCUAACUCCGUGCCAGCAGCCGCGGUAAUAGCGGAGGAUCCAAGCGUUAUCCGGAAUCAUUGGGUUUAAAGGGUCCGUAGGCGGUUUAAUAAGUCAGUGGUGAAAGCCCAUCGCUCAACGGUGGAACGGCCAUUGAUACUGUUAGACUUGAAUUAUUAGGAAGUAACUAGAAUAUGUAGUGUAGCGGUGAAAUGCUUAGAGAUUACAUGGAAUACCAAUUGCGAAGGCAGGUUACUACUAAUGGAUUGACGCUGAUGGACGAAGGCGUGGGUAGCGAACAGGAUUAGAUACCGUGGUAGUCCACGCCGUAAACGAUGGAUACUAGCUGUUGGUAGCAAUCUCAGUGGCAAGCGAAA